GGAAGUUUUUGAGCUAAAUGAAGCAUUUUUGAUACAAAUCGGACAUUUCUGAGCGAAAUAAGACAUUUUCUAUGCAAAUAGGACAUUUCUCAGGCAAAUCGGACACUUCUUGAGGGAAAUCAAACCUAUUUGAGACAAACCAGACGUCUCAGAGGGAAAUGAAACAUUGAUGAGGUAAAAUCAGACGUUCCUGAGGCAAACCGGAGAUUUUCCCAGGGAAAUCGGUCAUUUUCUGACGGAACUUGGUCAUUUCUGAGGCAAAUGACAUUUUCCUGAAGGAACUCGGGCUUUUCUGAGGUAAAACCAAGGACAAAUGGGUGAUUUUUUUUACCCGUUCACCCUCUCCGGACGCGGUGGAGGUGACUCGCCGCUCUCCCCGCCCAAUGCGGAGCGCACGGAGCGCCGCACGCCGCGCUCCCGCCCCCGGCGCCGCCCCCGCGGCGACUGCGGCAAAACCAAGGGAGGGGCCCGAUGAGGGGCGGGGUCUCCGUGUGGACCCGCCCAUGACGCCUCACUCUCGGAUCCCUCCGCGCGCGGAUCCUUCCGCCCCUCACAUGGCCGUGUCGAUUCACCUCGGAUCCCUCCGCCGGAUCCUUUCGCGGCCGCUCCCGCCCCCAAAUCUCUUUUUUUUUUUUGCCUGUAAAUGGGCGUGGGGGAGGGGCGGAAGGAAAGUCGGGGCUGUGGGGGAGGGGAGCGAGCGGGGGGAGGGGGUCUGUGCCCAUUUAGCGGCGGUUUGAGGGGCCCCGCCGAGGAGGGGACGCGAUGAAGUUCCCCCCAUGCACGCUCCCCUUUUCGUGAGGAAACGCCCCAAAAAUGUUGGAACAGCUCCUUCCACACCCCCAAAAUGCCUCAUCGGUUUCAUCAGCACCUUUAAUUAGCCCCAGAGCAGCUUUAAUGAAUGAUAAUUAAAAGGUGGGGGACAGGGUUGUCCCCUCCCUGCCAGCACUUUUGGGGUGUCAUUUCCUGCCCGGAAACGCCUCAAAAUGUCAAAAAAGGGCUGUAAAAUGUCUUUUAAAAGCCUUUAAAUCCCUCAGAAUAGUGGGGGUUUAUUCCCCUUUUUGUAAACAGGGACUUCCAUGACUCGGCAUGGCCUGAAAUGGGGAGAAAGAUGGAGAUUUUGAUGCAUUUCUGUCGUAAAAAAAAAAGAAAAUGGUGGUUAGAGCUGUGCUGUAUCAGGGUGGGAAAAAAGGUUUUAAAAGUGUCGUUUGGGCUUUUUGGGGAACAAAAACUGGUGAAAAUUUGGGCUUUGGGGUCUGUGUUCCCUCAAGAACUUUUUUUCCCCCCAAGAUUUGUCACCCUUUUGAGGAGAAACGGCGCCUUUUUGGCAGCGGCCCAGCUCCGUGACGCAGCAAAAGCAAAAACCAGAGUAAAAUGAAUGAAUAAACACCAAAAAACCCUCCAGAACCACCCGGGAAGGUCGAAGCGAGGGAUUUUAGGGCAGAAUUGGCCAAACCGAACAAAAAAGUCGCUGUUAGAUUUAACCAUUUUCGUGCUGGACCGCGUGGGGCGGCCGGAGGCCCACGGCUGUGGGGGGAGGGGGUGACGCGGUUUGGGAGGGGAAAAAAUCAAAGAAAGGAGUAAAAAAUGUGAAAAAAUGAAAAAAUAAGCUUUUUCACACUGCGGGUGGUGGAUUUGGGGGGGGAAUUUUGGGGGUUGCUGCCCUUUUUUGGUGAUUUUAGGGACUAUUUUGUCGCCCCCGCGGGGGCGGCGCCGGGCCGCUUAUAAGGGAGGGCCCCGCGCCGGCAGCGCCCGGCCGAGAACCAGCCCCGAAACGGCCCGAAUUCGGCCCAAAAGCGCUUAGAGCUGCUCGAUUUUAUACAAAAAGCUCCUAAAAUGGCUUUAUUUCCUACCGAGAGCUCAAAAAAUGGCUUUAUUGCCUACCAAAAGCUCUUAAAGCUGCGAUAUUUUAUAGAAAGAGCUCCUAAGACUGCUUGAUUUCAUAAAAGCGGCUCUUAAAUAUUUAUUUAAAGAAAAGAGACAAAAGCUGUUUCCUUUAAGGAAAACUGAGCUCUUAAAGCUGCUUUCUUUCAACAUAAAUCCUUAAACUGCGGCGAUUCCAGUAAUGGGAAAAGCCAGGGCGAGCCGGGGCACUUUUAAUUGAAAAAAAUGAAUGAAAAACCUUUAAAAAGCUCUUAAAGCUGGUUUUCAUUUAAACCGAGGCUUCUAAUGCUGGUUUUUAAGAAAUCGCUGCUUUCAAAGCCGAUUUCUGGGAGAAGAGGCAGCUCUCGCAGCUCUUUAAUUCUUAAAAUAUCCUAAUGUGAUAUUUUCGAAAAGCCGGAGCGAGCUGGGGCGAUUUUAAUUUAAAAAGAGCUUUUUAAGCUUCUUUAAUUCCAAGAAAGAAAAAGCGCUUGAUUCGCUGUUUUCUGCUAAAAAAGCUCAUAAAUUUAAAUUUUUUUUAAAAGCUCCUAAAGCUUUUAAAAAAUGUAGUUUUGUCCCCAAGUGGGGCCGGGCCGGGCAGCGCAGGCGGGGGCGGCCGGUUUGGGGUGAAAUGCGGCAUUUUCAGGCUCAGGAUGGAUUGAGAGGAGCCAAUUUUGAGGGAAGAGCAGGAAAACUGAAGAGUGAAGAUGGAGUCGGCAGGGAGAGGAAAGUUUUUCUUCGCAGUGACCCCAUCUGGGGGGAAAAAAAGGACUUUUUGGUAAAAUGGCGGCAGUUGGGCAGGGGAGGAGCAGAGAGAAGAGAGGAGAACAAGGAGAGAAAGACAGAAAAUAGAACAUAAAAGAGAGAGAAAAUAGAAGAAAAUCAGGAAAAAAAAAAAAGAAAAUAGAAAAACCUUAGAAAAAAGAAAACAGAAAAUUGAAAAAAUAGAAAAUUGGAAAAAAGAAAAUUGAAAAUCAUAGAAAAAAUGUGAAAAAAUAGAAAAAAAAGAGAAGAAAAUUGGAGAAUAGAAGAAACUAGAAAAAAAUUAGAAAAUUUGAGAAAAUAGAAGAAAUUAGAAAAAUGAAAAUCGAACAAAUAGAAGAAUAUAGAAAAAAUAAUUGAAAAAAUGAAAAUAGACUGUAAAUAAAUAGAAAAAAUACAAUUGGGAAAAAUGAAACUAGAAAAAAGAAAAUAGAAAAUUAUAGGAAAAAAAAAGAAAAACGCAAGUGCUGAAAAUUUGAGAAGAUGGAAGUGAAAGAAAACAGGGAAAAAUCAGAAGAGAGAAAAUAGAAGAUAAUAGAAGAGAGGAAAAAUGAGAGAAAAUCAAAGAGGAUUUAGAGGAGAAAAUAGAAGCGAAAAAUAAUGAAAAAAAAGAAGGAUAAAGGGAGAGAAAAAGGAAGAAAAAUCCCGAUUUGGGCCCCGGAGCCGGGAAAAUUGAGGAAUUUGAGGAAAAUGCCCCAAACGGAGCCGGAGAGAGCGGCCGGGUGAGGCCCCACCCCCACCGGGGGUUUGGGAAUUUUGGGGGGAUUUGGGGGGUUUUGGGGUUCUGUCGUUUCAGGCGCCGCCGCCGUCGCCCCUCCCCCUUCCCCCUUUUUCUAUUAAACUCCCCAGAAAUGGGGAAAACCCCCCAAAUUCCUCCAGCGCCCUCCGGCUCCGCCGCUCCCGCCGGCGCCGCUCAGUAAGUGUCCAAAAUCUUUUGUUUUUAACCCGAAGGCGUCGCGCGGGAGGGGCCGGUGAUAAAAAAAAAAAAAGGGAGAGAAAUGAUCAAAGAAAUGUUUUGUAUUUUUUUUGGGGGGGGGUGGGGAAAGAGGGAGGGGGUGUCUCGAGUUUUUUUCCCCCUCAGGGAAGCAGCAAAACGCAGGGAAAAAAAAAGGCAAAAAAACGGUGAGAAAAAGCCGAGGAAAGGGAAAAAAAAAAGAGAGGAUUUAACCAAAAAAAGGCCAGUCUGCACUCAAAACGCGCUCAGGACAUUCCGGCAGGGAUUUGAGGAGAAAACCCCCAGAUCUGGGGAAUGCAGAGAAGUAAGAGUCGAUUUAAUUUCAUUUUUUGGGGAGGUCGGUUUUUGGUGGGAAGGGGGCGGUUUUGGGGUGUUUUCCGCCCUUUCCGCAGCCGCAAGUGAGAGGAGUCAGCAGCAUCAAAAAGAAGCUUUUUUGCCCCAAAAGUGAAGCUGGAAGAGCAGGAAGGUGGCUCCGGGAGCUUUCCUUAG
This is a long non-coding RNA of Onychostruthus taczanowskii (white-rumped snowfinch), 4063 nucleotides long. RefSeq lists it as uncharacterized. The transcript is spliced from 2 exons. Lineage: Eukaryota; Metazoa; Chordata; Aves; Passeriformes; Passeridae. The record is from RefSeq and is a predicted model, not a curated record.